CGUAGAUAUCGCUCAUUUU
This 19-nucleotide non-coding RNA is filed under the name Mus musculus (house mouse). The record is from RNAcentral. Lineage: Eukaryota; Metazoa; Chordata; Mammalia; Rodentia; Muridae.